UACGGGGGGGAGCAAGCGUUGUUCGGAUUUACUGGGCGUAAAGCGUGCGCAGGCGGUUUGCUAAGAGAGAUGUGAAAAUCCCCCGGGCUUAACCUGGGAACUGCGUUUCUAACUGGCAGGCUUGAGUGUGGCAGAGGGGGGUGGAAUUCCAGGUGUAGCGGUGAAAUGCGUAGAUAUCUGGAGGAACACCGGUGGCGAAGGCGGCAUCCUGGACCAAUUCUGACGCUGAGGAGCGAAAGCCAGGGGAGCAAAGCGGG
This 257-nucleotide ribosomal RNA is filed under the name uncultured bacterium. Its description in RNAcentral is "partial 16S ribosomal RNA". It matches the Rfam family "Bacterial small subunit ribosomal RNA", at positions 524 to 777 of the family's 1533-position model. The record is from RNAcentral.